Molecule: long non-coding RNA, 1417 nt
Filed under: Gallus gallus (chicken)
Lineage: Eukaryota; Metazoa; Chordata; Aves; Galliformes; Phasianidae
Description: lncRNA (ENSGALG00010029081.1)
Source: RNAcentral
AUCCUGGGAUCAAGGUGCCACGGACUGGAAAAUGCUGCUGUGGCGGAGUUCCUGUGUGAAGACAAAACUCCCAGUCCCCCAGAAAAGUGGAGGCAGAAGAGCAGUGACAAGGCAUUGUGUUUAACUUAAAAAACUUAAAAAAUGAACGGACGAAGAAUAGCUUUGUUUGCAUUCUGGUAACUGCUGAGGCUUUGGCUGACGACAGCUUUCAGCUGCACCUGAACUAGGCUGGAUUUGUCUCCUGCUCUCCAUAGGCAGAGAAGUGCGUCCAGGCAGUUUGGAGAACUGCUGGCUCAGGCUUCACCUCCACUAAUCCAAGUUCAGUCACUUUCCUCUGAAGAACCUGCAUCAAGCCGUGGUUUUAAGCUGCAGAUGGAGUUCUUCUCGCAGGACUGAAGUGCUGAAGCUCUCUGAGCUCCGAAGGCACCCUGAACUCAUGAGGCUUUUUCUUGGUUGGCAACGUGCUUAAAAAAGAAAGAAAUGCAAAUGGGCAUUUCCACGUGACUGUAUUCUGCUCAGUGCAGUGUCUGCCUGUGUUGCAGACUGAGCUCCGUGGCAUUGCAAAGAAUGCACCAAAGGUUCCCGUAUUUCUAGCGGUUGUCAGGGCGGUGGCUCAUGACAUCGUAAGGCCGUGGCGAUGUGACGUCAAGAUGUGGCCGUUGUAUGAAGUAAGUUUGUGGUUGCUGUGAAGCUGGGAGGAAUGUUGACUGCCUUGGGGGUUGAGAGGCCUUGCAGCAAGAUGUGGAGAAAUGUGAGGGUGGUCCCCAUCUGCACGAAGAAGAGCAAGCGCUGCGUUCUGCACCUGGGAUGCGGCAGCCCUGGCUAUAAGCCCUCAGCAAACAGUCGUCCUGUUCCACUUUUGGCCAGUCUCAGAUGCUUGUCUUCCAGAAUGUCUGCGUGUGGAUGAAUCACAACAGGAUCCUGGGAACUUUUAAGAAAGGAAAGAUUGCUUCACGUGUAAUGAAAAGCUAGUGUCCAGAAGAUCACUGCGGCCAGAUGCCAAUUUUGAUGCCCUCGUCAGUAAGACUUGUCCAAGCCCUGAUGUAUGUGAAACUCAUCAGGAGGGAAUGCUGGCAAGAAUCAGCUAACACAAUAGCAGCAAGCUUUCAGUGACAGCGUUAAGGAAGGGUGACGAUUCAGGCUGGGAGCAGGUAUGUCAUCACCUGACUUGACCACAUGUAACUUGAUGCUAGAAAUACACCACGUCCUCCCUCCCUGCAUGGCAAGAGAUGGCUCUCUUCUCCUGCAAAGGCAGCCGAAGUAACUUCUGUGUGCUGACUAGAGAGAGAAAACUUGGUGUCACUCCUUGCAAGUCCUGUGGCAGCCAGAUAUUGUGUGAUGAGAGUUGCUGUCUAUUUACUGUGUUUGGUUUCUUUGCUUUGCCAUGCUGUACACGAGUAAAGGAAAUGAAUGGAAU